UCUCAAAAAAAAAAACAAAAAAAUUCUCAGAGCAUCCAAAUGCUCUAGGCUCCAUCAGCAGUCAGUUGGCCACCUCCCUGGGUCCCAGCUACAGCCAGGAGAACCCUGCCACGGAGCAGGUGGAUGCCAGGGGUGGGGAGGUCUGACCUUCCGUGCUUCUCUCGUUUCAGACUGUUCUGCGAUGACCACAGCAAGGUACCGGCCCACCUGGGACCUGGCCCUCGACCCGCUGGUGUCUUGCAAGCUCUGUCUUGGGGAGUACCCAGUGGAGCAGAUGACAACCAUAGCCCAGUGCCAAUGCAUCUUCUGUACUCUGUGCCUGAAACAGUAUGUUGAGCUCUUGAUCAAAGAAGGAUUAGAAACCGCAAUUAGCUGCCCAGAUGCUGCCUGCCCUAAACAGGGCCACCUACAGGAGAACGAGAUUGAGUGCAUGGUUGCAGCUGAAAUUAUGCAAAGAUAUAAAAAGCUACAAUUUGAAAGAGAGGUGCUGUUUGAUCCCUGUCGGACUUGGUGCCCGGCGUCCACCUGCCAAGCUGUGUGUCAGCUCCAGGACGUGGGGCUGCAGACCCCCCAGCCAGUGCAGUGCA
Molecule: small RNA, 587 nt
Filed under: Pan troglodytes (chimpanzee)
Lineage: Eukaryota; Metazoa; Chordata; Mammalia; Primates; Hominidae
Description: retained intron
Source: RNAcentral